Molecule: long non-coding RNA, 307 nt
Filed under: Ananas comosus (pineapple)
Lineage: Eukaryota; Viridiplantae; Streptophyta; Magnoliopsida; Poales; Bromeliaceae
Description: long non-coding RNA (ACOM_LNC023436)
Source: RNAcentral
AAAGUUACAAAGUUACGGAGUAUGUUAGUUUGGAAAGCUAUUAGAAUGGUUCCGGUGAAGUUCGGGAGCAUUCGGGUGUGUUCGGUGCGCGUUGGGCGCGAAAACGAAACCCGAAAGGCUAUGUUGGACCAUGAACUAAAUCCGGCAUAAGCGUAGAUAAAAAGAUGGUGUAAAUAUGCUCGAAAAUAUGUUUUGGGGGUCUCGGUACGAUUAGAGAUGAAUCGGAGGUCUAACGAGCGAAAACGGAGAAGAAAUGGGCUAAAGCUGAAAAUGCUGAAAAUUUGGCUAAGUCCUAAAAUGCUGGAGU